Molecule: non-coding RNA, 115 nt
Organism: Acanthosepion pharaonis
Lineage: Eukaryota; Metazoa; Mollusca; Cephalopoda; Sepiida; Sepiidae
Source: the annotation of a GenBank genome assembly
CUUGCGGCCACAUCACAUUGAAAUACCAGUUCCUUUAUGAUCACUGAAGUUAAACCAUGUCAAGCCUGGUCAGUACCUAGAUGGAUCACCACUUGGGAAUAUCAGGUGCUGUAAG